This is a long non-coding RNA of Conger conger (European conger), 3730 nucleotides long. RefSeq lists it as uncharacterized. The transcript has 3 exons. The record is from RefSeq and is a predicted model, not a curated record. Lineage: Eukaryota; Metazoa; Chordata; Actinopteri; Anguilliformes; Congridae.
GAUAACUAGUUUCACUACAGGCUAGGUCGGGUCUAACGGCAUGUUCAAAUCAUCCCAGCGUUCCUCUGUAUGGCUGCCGAUUAGCAUCUGUUAGCUAACGUUAGCUGCCAUGUAUGUGAAUGACAUGUGCAAUAAAAUGAGAAGUUACGGUUUUGUCUUUUGUUUUUCCCUGUUCAUGUCCGCGAGUAACUAUGUUAGUAUAUUUGAAAAGAGACAUUCCUGGUGAGUUUUUCCAUUGUAAAUCUCGUGUGCCGAGUGCUUUCGUUUUAAAACAGGCAACUCGUGGAAACACCCCGUCAAAAUAAACGCGCGUGCGCCCGGCUACGGUACGGCGGAUGACACUGUGUUCACCACGCCCAGCCCAGCACACAACUCCACUACAUAAAGCAUGAGUGACCUCACGGAGAGCCGACACAGCAACAAGAUCCGACGUGUCUCAGCUAACUAAGAUAGCCUACUUGAAACUAUGGAAGAAUCCACAGUAAUAUGGCAUCACCUUUACAAUGAAUACAUCACGCGUGGUUCGCAAACAGAACGGUUUGGAAUGGGAACAUCCGAUGUUGCCGAAAACCUGACAACGGCAGACAGAUUUAGAGGGAUAUGCAUCCGACGAUAACCUGAAUAGAAGCUCGGGCCCUGGUAUAUGCAACCUGGCACUUUCAUGCAUUUCAAGAAUUGGGGUCGUUCUCAGUCGCUACUGCUGCUGCUGCUGUGCACCUCAGGACAUCAUUGAGGGUACCCCUAACUUUGAUUUCUGCUUACGAUUCUAAUAGCUGGUUUGUUUGGCUGAAUUAGCAUGUGUGAUUUAAGGAUUAAGGAUUUAUUUAAGGACUUUAGGAAUUAUGCUGUGUGCUUUUUAGACACUGUGUUACAAUGGACUGUCCUGAGUAUGCACCCACUUAAGAGUGCGUUCAUAUUAACACGAGCAUAAGUGGCUGCACAGUAAAAUGUUUGGAUUUCAACUCUUGCAGAGUUAAUUUAUUGUGUAUGAACACAAUCAAUCAAUCAACCUAUAUUUACACUUGGAAGGACACAUUGAGGAAUAAGGGCCCUCCUUCGCAAGUGUGCCAAGUUUACAAUUUACAACAAAAAAUUGAAACAAAACCGUGUUCUAACAUCUUAAAUUGCACAAUUGUGUAAAUGUGUCUAUCGCUGUAAAGCACAGUUGGCCUCAUUUAUCAACAUGUUCUCAGAAACCACAUGUGAAAUUCAUGAGCAAUUGGGAAAAUAAACGAACAGAUUGGCAUCGGCAGAAUUCUUGAGAAGUCGUUGCUGUCUGGUGAGCCCUGCACAGAGCCGGAAGGAGGUGUAGUGUGAACCAGCUCACCAGCCUCAAAGUGCACGAUCUGCCAAAUCCAUCAACUCACCAGCCUCAAAGUGCACGAUCUGCCAAAUCCAUCAACUCACCAGCCUCAAAGUGCACGAUCUGCCAAAUCCAUCAGCUCACCAGCCUCAAAGUGCACGAUCUGCCAAAUCCAUCAGCUCACCAGCCUCAAAGUGCACGAUCUGCCAAAUCCAUCAACUCACCAGCCUCAAAGUGCACGAUCUGCCAAAUCCAUCAACUCACCAGCCUCAAAGUGCACGAUCUGCCAAAUCCAUCAACUCACCAGCCUCAAAGUGCACGAUCUGCCAAAUCCAUCAGCUCACCAGCCUCAAAGUGCACGAUCUGCCAAAUCCAUCAACUCACCAGCCUCAAAGUGCACGAUCUGCCAAAUCCAUCAAGGCAUCGGGUCGAGGAGGCAGCCUUGAGCAAAGCCCUUAAACCCGCAUUGCUCCAGGGGAGAUUGUCCCCUGCUUAGUCUAAUCAACUAACCUGAGCUCCGUUUUCCUUGCCAGGAGACUUCACAGAGUUCUGUUCAGCCCUUGUAGAGGAGUCUUCUGAAGCAGCCCCUGCAACAUUCAUUCAUCAUCCAUCAUCUUAACCCACUUAUCCUGAACAGGGUCGCAGGGGGGCUGGAGCCUAUCCCAGCAUACAUUGGGCGAAAGGCAGGAAUGCACCCCGGACAGGUCGCCAGUCCAUCGUCCCCUGCAACAUGUACACUCUUAAAUCUCCGAACCAAACUGCGGGCAGCGGAGAGAAAAUGGAAAAGGUCCUGUCUCCCCACUGAUAUGGCUUCCUUCCAUGCCCUCUUAUCUUUCCAUUCCUCUGUCUCUCUAGCUAAAUCUUCCUCCUUUCACUCGAAAAUUAACGCGGCCGCCUCUAAUCCCCGCAAACUGUUUUCAACCUUCUCCUCUCUUCUGCCCCCCCCCACCCCCCCCCAUCACUCACACCUGAUGACUUUGUCUCCUUUGAAAAGAAGGUUGACGCCAUUUGUAAUUCCUUCUCCCAACCCUCUCCCCCUGCUGACCCUCCUACCUUCCCCAACUCCCUAGCCUCCUUUUCUCCCCUCUCUGACUCCUCUCGUCAUUUCCCACCAGGAUUACUGGAUCUCCCUCCUAGUCGGUCUCCCAGCGUGUGCAUCAAGCUCCUCCAGCUGGUCCAGAAUGCUGCACCAGUCAGCCCAGGUCGGGUCAUGUCACCCAGCUUCUCAUUGGCCUCCACUGGCUUCCUAUUGCCGCACGCAUCCGAUUCAAGGCCCUAGUGUUGGCAUUUCAGGCAGCUAAGGGGACUGCCCCACCUUACAUACAAUCCUUGAUCAUUCCCUACUCAUUACAUUACAUUACAUUAUUGGCAUACGCUCUUAUCCAGAGCGACGUACAGUUGAUUAGACUAAGCAGGAGACAAUCCUCCCCUGGAGCAAUGCAGGGUUAAGGGCCUUGCUCAAGGGCCCAACGGCUGUGCGGAUCUUAUUGUGGCUACACCGGGAUUAGAACCACCGACCUUGCGUGUCCCAGUCAUUUACCUUAACCACUACGCUACAGGCCGCCCUACUCCCCAGUUAGACCAGUCUGGUCUGCCAGCUCUGGUCGCCUUAUGGUUUCCUCUCUAUGAGCACCUGGCGGUCGAGCUGCACAUUCACGCCUUUUUUCCGUUCUGGUUCCUCAGUGGUGGAAUGACUUGCCUACCACUGUCAGGACAGCAGAAUCCCUCCCCCUAUUUCGACGCUGACUAAAAACACACCUUUUCAAACUCUACCUUAGUCCUCCCUCCUGAUUUCCCCCGCCCCCCUUUCUGAUAUCCCUAUCCCUCUUGUUAUAUGCUAUAUGUUUAGAACAGCACUUCAUGUGUAUUUUCCUAGUUAUGGAUGUGAUGCUUUGACUUGUGGAAGAACCUAUGCACUUGUAAGUCGCUUUGGAUUAAAAGCAUCUGCCAAAUGACUAAAAUGUAAAUGUAAAUUUUAGUUUUUAAUUUUCUCCUUCAUAACAGAAUAUUAGCAUUAGUUUGGGUGACUGCACUUUUAGAAAUUAAUAUAAUGUAUUUAAAUUGUAGUAUGUAUGUAUACACAUACUUUAUAUUUGUGCACAAAUACUUUAUAUUUAUAUUAUAUAUUUUUAAAAGAAAUUUAAUGUUGACAUUUGAAAUAUGAAAUGUAUACGAAGAAAUAAUUGUAUUGUUUUAUAUUUUCUUAAAUGUAAAUAACCUGUCACAGAAUUUGAGUUUAGAUUCCUCCAACUUGCGUAGAGGAAUGUAUGAAGACUUCCUCCUGGCUAGAUCCCCCCUUUGUUUAGAAAUUGUACUUAAACUGUGCCAUGUUUCAAUAUUGGUGUGUAAGAUUGCUGAAAGCUCAGGAGAACGUACACACUACCUGGAACCACGAAUAAAGAGCUGAACUUGUCUAAAAUCCUCGAA